GGCUGCCUGGCGCAAUGGUAGCGCAUCUGGCUUCGAUUGCCAAGGGCCUAGACGCUGAAAUUGAUCGCGUGAUUAGCAACCAGAAGGUUGCAGGUUCGAGACCUGCGGUAGUCA
This is a non-coding RNA of Irpex rosettiformis, 114 nucleotides long. Lineage: Eukaryota; Fungi; Basidiomycota; Agaricomycetes; Polyporales; Irpicaceae. The record is from the annotation of a GenBank genome assembly.